RNAcentral lists this ribosomal RNA (253 nucleotides) under uncultured bacterium. RNAcentral's name for it is "partial 16S ribosomal RNA". It matches the Rfam family "Bacterial small subunit ribosomal RNA", at positions 524 to 776 of the family's 1533-position model. The record is from RNAcentral.
UACAGAGGGUGCGAGCGUUAAUCGGAAUUACUGGGCGUAAAGCGCGCGUAGGCGGCUUUGCAAGUCGGGUGUGAAAUCCCCAGGCUUAACCUGGGAAUGGCAUUUGGGACUGCAGGGCUGGAGUUUGGCAGAGGAGACUGGAAUUCCCGGUGUAGCAGUGAAAUGCGUAGAUAUCGGGAGGAAUACCGAUGGCGAAGGCAGGUCUCUGGGCUAUAACUGACGCUCAUGCACGAAAGCGUGGGGAGCAAACAGG